Molecule: ribosomal RNA, 449 nt
Filed under: uncultured bacterium
Lineage: Bacteria
Description: bacterial SSU rRNA
Rfam family: Bacterial small subunit ribosomal RNA
Source: RNAcentral
UUCCAGACUCCUACGGGAGGCAGCAGUGGGGAAUAUUGCACAAUGGGGGGAACCCUGAUGCAGCAAUGCCGCGUGAAGGAUGAAGGUUUUCGGAUUGUAAACUUCUUUUGUACGGGACGAAGAAAGUGACGGUACCGUAAGAAUAAGCCACGGCUAACUACGUGCCAGCAGCCGCGGUAAUACGUAGGUGGCAAGCGUUAUCCGGAUUUAUUGGGUGUAAAGGGCGUGUAGGCGGGAAUGCAAGUCAGAUGUGAAAACUAUAGGCUCAACCCAUAGCCUGCAUUUGAAACUGUAUUUCUUGAGUGCUGGAGAGGCAAUCGGAAUUCCGUGUGUAGCGGUGAAAUGCGUGGAUAUACGGAGGAACACCAGUGGCGAAGGCGGAUUGCUGGACAGUAACUGACGCUGAGGCGCGAAAGCGUGGGGAGCAAACAGGAUUAGAUACCCCAGUA